CACCGGAAGUUCUUCGGAGCCACUUGGUAUGCCAUCUGAAAAUUGCAGAACCUCUCCAAAAUCUUCAAAUUCUGCUUCUUUUCUCCUGUACUUGCAGUGAAGGCUUAGUUUUCCUUUACUGAGUUCUGUUACGAAGUUUCCUUUCGUUUUGUCUAGAUGAGUUAAUAAUGAGGAGUCGAGAUCAGUCAAUAUCCGACUAUGUUGUAAUGUUUUUCAGAUUUGUAACCUCUGGUGAAAUACGAAAGCGUUCCAAGUUCUUCAAACCCUUUAUUUUUGGAUUAAUAAAUGCAACAGUGGAACAGGUUUGUUGUAUUUAAAUUUUUUGUAUGCUCACUAGCACUUGACAUCCUUUCAUGCAUUAUCAGGAAACGAUUGUUCUUUCUUUUUGAGUUCUUUCCCCUUUAGAACAACAGUGCAAAUAAGAGUUGUAACAUAUCCUUUUGGUUAGUAGUAAACGAUCUCAAUUUUCUUUUAUCAUCUUUUACAUAUUAUUUUUGCUGCCUUAAGAUUAAUGAAAGCUAAUCGAACCAUAACAUCACUUCAUUUACACGAUUCUCAUGUUCAAAGGGAGACUUGUAACCAGCAGCACUGUACAGCAGAAAGCGGCCACUGUGUUGAAUGGAGGCUGAUGAUUUAUCCCUACCAGUGCCUUUGAGGCUUUUCUUCAAGGCUGAUAGUUGAACAGAGAUGUUGGAGUCAUCCAUGAAACCUCCAAAUCUCCUCACAGCUGCAUAUUUGUGUUGAGGCAACUCCACUGGCUGUGCUUCAGCUGAUAGGGGAGGGGUUCUUUGGAAUUUUUGGGGCACGUAAAAGUGAACUACAUAGGUUGAAUUCUGGAGAUGUUCUGUCCUUGGAUGUAUAUUAACCAAAACUGGUGCUGUCAUAUUCAUUUUCACUGCUGCAUCAUUGUUGCCCCGGAUGUAAGCAAAGAGACUAACCAUGGAAAACAAAUCGGAAUUAGAAAUAGAAUGAGGAUGAUUAAUGUGAAACAACAAAUAUAUAUAUAUAUAUCACUUUUUUAUGAAUUUAUACUUCAAACAAAAUAA
Molecule: long non-coding RNA, 1046 nt
Organism: Gossypium arboreum
Lineage: Eukaryota; Viridiplantae; Streptophyta; Magnoliopsida; Malvales; Malvaceae
Exons: 4
Source: RefSeq, a predicted model, not a curated record